AACGAACGCUGGCGGCAGGCUUAACACAUGCAAGUCGAACGCCCCGCAAGGGGAGUGGCAGACGGGUGAGUAACGCGUGGGAACAUACCCUUUUCUACGGAAUAGCUCUGGGAAACUGGAAUUAAUACCGUAUACGCCCUACGGGGGAAAGAUUUAUCGGGGAAGGAUUGGCCCGCGUUGGAUUAGCUAGUUGGUGGGGUAAAGGCCUACCAAGGCGACGAUCCAUAGCUGGUCUGAGAGGACGAUCAGCCACAUUGGGACUGAGACACGGCCCAAACUCCUACGGGAGGCAGCAGUGGGGAAUAUUGGACAAUGGGCGCAAGCCUGAUCCAGCCAUGCCGCGUGAGUGAUGAAGGCCUUAGGGUUGUAAAGCUCUUUCACCGAUGAAGAUAAUGACGGUAGUCGGAGAAGAAGCCCCGGCUAACUUCGUG
Molecule: ribosomal RNA, 431 nt
Filed under: uncultured bacterium
Lineage: Bacteria
Description: partial 16S ribosomal RNA
Rfam family: Bacterial small subunit ribosomal RNA
Source: RNAcentral